AUCCUUUGGUUCAUGAGCAUGAUGACUAGGUGUUCACGCCUUAUGCCUGAAAUGUGCAUCCCUCAAACCUUGUGAGGAUGUCGGCACAUUACCCACUUGAUA
Molecule: non-coding RNA, 102 nt
Organism: Fukomys damarensis (Damara mole-rat)
Lineage: Eukaryota; Metazoa; Chordata; Mammalia; Rodentia; Bathyergidae
Source: Rfam